GACGAACGCUGGCGGCGUGCUUAACACAUGCAAGUCGAACGGAAAGGCCCUGCUUUUGUGGGGUGCUCGAGUGGCGAACGGGUGAGUAACACGUGAGUAACCUGCCCUUGACUUUGGGAUAACUUCAGGAAACUGGGGCUAAUACCGGAUAGGAGCUCCUGCUGCAUGGUGGGGGUUGGAAAGUUUCGGCGGUUGGGGAUGGACUCGCGGCUUAUCAGCUUGUUGGUGGGGUAGUGGCUUACCAAGGCUUUGACGGGUAGCCGGCCUGAGAGGGUGACCGGCCACAUUGGGACUGAGAUACGGCCCAGACUCUUACGGGAGGCAGCAGUGGGGAAUAUUGCACAAUGGGCGGAAGCCUGAUGCAGCAACGCCGCGUGCGGGAUGACGGCCUUCGGGUUGUAAACCGCUUUCGCCUGUGACGAAGCGUGAGUGACGGUAAUGGGUAAAGAAGCACCGGCUAACUACGUA
Molecule: ribosomal RNA, 468 nt
Filed under: uncultured bacterium
Lineage: Bacteria
Description: partial 16S ribosomal RNA
Rfam family: Bacterial small subunit ribosomal RNA
Source: RNAcentral